This 624-nucleotide ribosomal RNA is filed under the name uncultured bacterium. RNAcentral's name for it is "bacterial SSU rRNA". It matches the Rfam family "Archaeal small subunit ribosomal RNA", at positions 472 to 1097 of the family's 1478-position model. The record is from RNAcentral.
UACACCCGCAGCACGAGUAGUGGUCACUUUUAUUGAGCCUAAAGCGUUCGUAGCCGGUUUUGUAAAUCUUCAGAUAAAGCCUGAAGCUUAACUCCAGAAAGUCUGAAGAGACUGCAAGACUUGAGAUCGGGUGAGGUUAAACGUACUUUCAGGGUAGGGGUAAAAUCCUGUAAUCCCGGAAGGACGACCAGUGGCGAAAGCGUUUAACUAGAACGAAUCUGACGGUAAGGAACGAAGGCUAGGGUAGCAAACCGGAUUAGAUACCCGGGUAGUCCUAGCUGUAAACAUUGCCCAUUUGAUGUUGCUUUUCCGUUGAGGGAAGGCAGUGUCGGAGCGAAGGUGUUAAAUGGGCCGCUUGGGAAGUAUGGUCGCAAGACUGAAACUUAAAGGAAUUGGCGGGGGAGCACCGCAACGGGAGGAAUGUGCGGUUUAAUUGGAUUCAACGCCGGAAAACUCACCGGGAACGACCUGUGCAUGAGAGUCAACCUGACGAGCUUACUCGAUAGCAGGAGAGGUGGUGCAUGGCCGUCGUCAGCUCGUACCGUAGGGCGUUCACUUAAGUGUGAUAACGAGCGAGACCCACAUCUUUAAUUGGCAAUGUAUAUGAGAAUAUGCAUGCACUUU